UACGGAGGAUGCAAGCGUUAUCCGGAAUGCUUGGGCGUAAAGCGUCCGCAGGUGGCUGUGUAAGUCUGCUGUCAAAGAGCAAAGCUCAACUUUGUAAAGGCAGUGGAAACUACACGGCUAGAGUGCGUUCGGGGCAGAGGGAAUUCCUGGUGUAGCGGUGAAAUGCGUAGAGAUCAGGAAGAACACCGGUGGCGAAGGCGCUCUGCUAGGCCGCAACUGACACUGAGGGACGAAAGCCAGGGGAGCAAACGGG
Molecule: ribosomal RNA, 253 nt
Filed under: uncultured bacterium
Lineage: Bacteria
Description: partial 16S ribosomal RNA
Rfam family: Bacterial small subunit ribosomal RNA
Source: RNAcentral